This 4180-nucleotide long non-coding RNA is filed under the name Podarcis lilfordi (Lilford's wall lizard). Lineage: Eukaryota; Metazoa; Chordata; Lepidosauria; Squamata; Lacertidae. The record is from RNAcentral.
AGUGUUGAUGGGUACACUCCAUUAAACAAAUGCGUGUUCUGUACGUUUGCCAAGACAUGCAUGAAGAAAGCCUUGAAAUAAGAAUGGGGAAAUGCAUUAUGGGUUGGAAAUUCCCGCUUGGGACAAGGGAGGAUAGAUAUAACACAUGGAUUUGAAUUCCUGGCAGGCUAAGCAAGCAGGUUUGAGAUUCCCAUCAGAGGCAACGCAACAGAGUGAUGUGCAUAUUUAUUCCCUGGGAUAUUAAAUUUUCUCAUGCAGGUUUGCUUCCUGUUCUUCCAGUUUCACCCCAUACCUGGCAUAACUUGGCCUAUAUAACUGCUGUGGCAUUAGGGGUGUGCCACUGUAGGGGGUGAAACGUAAUUGUUGCAAAUUUAUUCAGUCUUAAAAUGUGGUUUUGGGUGUGAGGAAUUCAAUUCUGCUAUUAUUUUUGUGACUGGGCAACUUUUAACUACAAUUCCUGUUUAACAAUCCCUUCCUCUUUCCAGGGAAUUCUGGGAACUGUAUUUCCGCGAGGGGAAUAGGGAUCUCCUAACAAUUGUAAAUCAACAUUGACAAGCUACAGAUCCUGGGAUUUUUGUUGUUGUUAUGCGUGUGGGAGCCAUGAGUGUUUAAAGCGGUAAUGUACUGCCUUAAAUGUAUAGGGCAAAUGCAGCCUUUGUCUGCUGAAACUAGGGUGUUUCUGUGUCCAGACUGUCUUCUCUUUUGAAAGUGUUUUGUAUUUGAAAGGUUGCCUGCUCCCAAGUCCAGCUUAAAGAUAAAGAUUAAAGCACAGUUAUCUGGCUGCUGUGGUUGUUUACUUCUCUCUUCCUCAGCACAGGGUGGGAAGAUUGCCAGUGUUGCUUUUUAUCAGACGAUGCUUGACCAAAUUAGCUGUGGCGUUUUUCUCCCUCUGUUUGUGAUAACAUAUUGACCCAGAACCACAGCAGUAAAUGAGGAACAGCCUCGGACGUUGAAAUCCGGGAGUCUCGAUUUAAAUUCUCUUAUCAUCUGGAGUGAUUUAAAUGCAACGGCAUAAAUAAAGCCACUUUUUCUUUUUGCCCGUCUGGGGUUGGAUUAUAUACAUAUUUCGUUUAACCGAAAUAGAUCAGAGGUCAUCCAUUCUAACCAUUUAUACUCAGACUGGUGGGUGGAGUUGUCACAUGAAGUUGACAUAGGCAAUUAAGAAGAAUUUUUUUUUAAAGGAUUCUUCAGUUAAUCAGGAAGUAGAGUUUACCUGAAAUGGAUCCGGAUGAUCAGUUUUUUCAUUAUUAUGGGAUAAUGGUCCCUUGGAACAACUUUGUGAAGAGGUGGCAAUAGUGCUGGCUGCAGGGGUUUUUGUGGGGGCAAUUUGUCCUCAAGAUGGCUCCCCCUUUUUUCAGCCCUCUGAAAAAGAGGGUUGCAAGACAGUUGCAGCAAACUGUCUCCUACCAGGCCCAGUGAAUACCAUUUCCCAGAGGGAGACCCCAAGGCCUCUUAAGUCUCUUGACACUUCUCACUCUUUGCAUGCUCAGAGAGGGGAGGUGAACAAGUGGUUACAGUAAUUAGGGGGUGAGGGAGAGCAAUAGGGCCAGGAGCAGGGAGAACUUCAGGUGCUAGAUGAUCCUGGCCCAAGGCAGAACCUGGUUCUGAUAAGACUGGCAGCAUCUGGGCUAUAUAAGCAGAGGCAGCAAUGUGCAUCAGAGAUGCUUUCGUUUUCCCUGUUUGGGAAGAUAUUAAUGUGAGAAGCAGCCCAGAGGAAGAAGACGCUUGUCUGUGUGAAACUUGCAAGUAAGCUGCUAUGUUCCCACUGUUUUCACUGCAAAUCCCCCUGAAAAACAUUGCUUUGGAAAUAAAUGGGUGGAACUCCUGCCUUGGCAAUAAAAAAACGAAAGAAACAACCACUGCAAAAAAAGCACGUACUACGUUGUCAUCUCCUGGAAGAUGGUGGUGAUUAAUUUUAAGUGAUAUUCCUGUCUAGUAGUGGAGCUCCCAACCCCCGAUGUGGAUGCAGCUUGUCCCAUUUUAAAGAAGCAGUGAUUUAUGCCAGCCAGCCCACGUCUGUGGCCUCUUCAAAAGGUCAAGUGUGAUGGCAGCCAACUGUGAAAUAUGAAACCACAACCAAUCCUCCACCUGUAGUUUGUGCUGUGUGCUUUUCAUCCCCAGAAGCACCUUUGCCACAAGCAUAAAUCCACAACCCCGCUGUGAGGACAGCAAUUAUUCUCAACUUAUUUUCCUUUUCCACACAGUGUCAAUAUGCUGGUCCCAAUCUGAGGCAAGGUACAGCUGGAAUCAAUAAAUCAAUCACUAGUUUGCAGUUGAUUUAGUGGGUGGUGUUCUGUUGCGUUUUUUAAAGAAAAAACAAACCACCAACCCUUAGAAGGGUUUUAGAAACUUGAUUGCCAGCACUGCAGUUAAUUUAUUGGCUAAUAGAAAUGCCUUUUCAGAACUGACCUUGAACAGUUAAAAAUAUACAGUAUAGGUUUCCUGGAAAAAUCAUACAAGCAAUGCACCAGUUUAAAAGCCAAAAUCAGUAAGAUGCCAAUUGCAACCAUCUCAAAAUAUAACAGUCUCGUUAAUGAAAAAUUAACCAAAUGUUAAAGCUUCAGAAUUUUAAAUCGCUCACUAAAAGCCUCUAAGAACAGAAAGGUCUUUGAAGACACCCAAAGACCAGCGAUGAGGGAGCCUAGUGAACUUUGAAAGGGGUCUCCUUCUGUAGCUUUGGCACACCUGUCCAGAAGGCCUUGUCUUAUCCAUUUGCCCCUCUUAACUGGAUGGUGAUCAGAGUCUUUGAACGUGAUCUUAAUUGUCAGGCAGGUCCAUAUGAGAGUGGACCAGCCUUCCCUAACCUGGUGCCCUCCAUAAUGUUUUGGAUUACAACCCCUAUCCGAAACAUUGGCCGGGGGAUGGGGGAGGCAGGUUGGGGGAUGCUAGAGUAGGAGAUUCUGACACAAACAUGGUCCCAGACUGUUUAAGGCUUUAAAGGCCAACACCAGGUCUUCUAAUUGAGCCUGGGAACAAAAAGAAAGUCUGUGUAGGUGGAGCAAGAUCUGAGUAAUAUGAUCUGUACCCGUUCCGUUAGUAAAACAGCAAUACUUCUCUUUUGCUUCAUUACCGUAUCCAACAGUUUGGUUAAUAAUAUUAUGUUGAGUUCUGAAACCCAUGGCAAGCAAGGCAACACCUUUUAUUGGAACAGCAAAUGUUUUAAAUGCUGGAAGUGGGAGUUGGUGCCUCUCCAGUGAGGUAUUGGAGGCGAAAGUAAGUCAUGAUGCAGUUUCAUGCUAACUAGGGACGUGAUUCAGCCUUGGUUAAGUGCUUUAGGGCUGCAAUUCUCUCCGCGAAUGCUUGGGAGUAAGUUAGCGCAGGAGCUUGAGGCAAAAAUAAUUUUGGCUAUCAAAAGUUUUUCAGCCACAUUCCGAUGCAAUAGCAAGCCUUGGUUUAAUGUCAUGAGGACAAGCCACAGCAAGCCUUGGGCUUGUGCCCUCUUUCUGGGUGUGACUGCGAGGCAGAGUCGAAAACUUUUCUUUCUGCUGCUUGUGUUGACCAUAGUUGCUGGAGCUGCCUUGCUUCAACAAACCGUGGCUGAGAUCAGCUACAGUUUGUCUGGUAGGAACAUCACACUAAACAAGGUUACUCUGAAGUGGAAAUGGAAGUGCAUUCACCUGAGGGAAGGGGAAGGACCCUGAGGCAUGAAAAAGGUGCCUUCUGGGUAAUUCUCUGGCGGGUCCAGUAGCUAAGUGGGGCUUUUAAGGGAACACCACCAGCCACUCUUGUGUCAAAUGAGCACACUGUGUUGCUUGUACCAACCUGGCCCAUGUGUGGAUUCAAAUUCUCUUUUUCUUUCUACUUUGUUAAUUAAUCCCUUCAGCUUGUUUCACUUGAUUAAUGCAAUUUGGAGUUCUUCUUUCACAGCGAUUUGCCCAGCAAGCAUUGAUAAAGUUAUGAAGUCUUAAUAGCUACCGCAGGGACCUUCAUGACAAGAGAGGAACUGGUACAAGAAGCUCCCUGCUGGCGCUUUCCAGGCAGUGAAGUUAGACUCGCCAUUGUCUUGUAAGAGUCUUAGGGGUAGCACUAUUGCUGGAGAUGCAGUCCAUCGUCACUCAGGCGCGGGGAGAUGCAAGUCUUCAGACAGCCAUGAGCUCACUUCUUGUCUGGUUUUUCCUUACGAACACUGAAAAAAUGACCCAUGUUCGAUGGUAGUUUUCUAUAAAUUGUACUGCACACC